Molecule: non-coding RNA, 86 nt
Organism: Xylariaceae sp. FL1651
Lineage: Eukaryota; Fungi; Ascomycota; Sordariomycetes; Xylariales; Xylariaceae
Source: the annotation of a GenBank genome assembly
GUUUCCGUGGCCUAGCGGUUAGGGCGUCUGUCUUACAAUCCCCAUUGGAUCACAGAAGAUCCCCGGUUCGAUCCCGGGCGGAAACA